GGGGAUUUGGCUCAAUGGUAGAGCGCUUGCCUAGCAAGCACAAGGCCCUGGGUUCAGUCCCCA
This 63-nucleotide transfer RNA is filed under the name Rattus norvegicus (Norway rat). It matches the Rfam family "tRNA", at positions 1 to 62 of the family's 71-position model. Rfam says of the family: Transfer RNA (tRNA) molecules are approximately 80 nucleotides in length. Their secondary structure includes four short double-helical elements and three loops (D, anti-codon, and T loops). The record is from Rfam by way of RNAcentral. Lineage: Eukaryota; Metazoa; Chordata; Mammalia; Rodentia; Muridae.